GAUGAACGCUGGCGGCGUGCCUAAUACAUGCAAGUCGAGCGAAUGGAUUAAGAGCUUGCUCUUAUGAAGUUAGCGGCGGACGGGUGAGUAACACGUGGGUAACCUGCCCAUAAGACUAGGAUAACUCCGGAAAACCGGGGCUAAUACCGGAUAACAUUUUGAACCGCAUGGUUCGAAAUUGAAAGGCGGCUUCGGCUGUCACUUAUGGAUGGACCCGCGUCGCAUUAGCUAGUUGGUGAGGUAACGGCUCACCAAGGCAACGAUGCGUAGCCGACCUGAGAGGGUGAUCGGCCACACUGGGACUGAGACACGGCCCAGACUCCUACGGGAGGCAGCAGUAGGGAAUCUUCCGCAAUGGACGAAAGUCUGACGGAGCAACGCCGCGUGAGUGAUGAAGGCUUUCGGGUCGUAAAACUCUGUUGUUAGGGAAGAACAAGUGCUAGUUGAAUAAGCUGCACCUUGACGGUACCUAACCAGAAAGCCACGGCUAACUACGUGCCAGCAGCCGCAGUAA
RNAcentral lists this ribosomal RNA (514 nucleotides) under uncultured bacterium. RNAcentral's name for it is "partial 16S ribosomal RNA". It matches the Rfam family "Bacterial small subunit ribosomal RNA", at positions 28 to 523 of the family's 1533-position model. The record is from RNAcentral.